GUACAGUUGAAGAGUCGCAGAGUGGGACGAAACAGCUGUCCAGUAC
This 46-nucleotide non-coding RNA is filed under the name Trichobilharzia regenti. Lineage: Eukaryota; Metazoa; Platyhelminthes; Trematoda; Strigeidida; Schistosomatidae. The record is from RNAcentral.